AGAGUUUGAUCCUGGCUCAGAACGAACGCUUGCGGCGCGCCUAAUACAUGCAAGUCGAACGAGGUAGCAAUACCUAGUGGCGCACGGGUGAGUAACGCGUGGAUAAUCUGCCCUUCAGUGGGGAAUAACUAUCCGAAAGGAUAGCUAAUACCGCAUGAGACCACAGUUUCUACGGAAACAGAGGUUAAAGAUUUAUCGCUGAAGGAUGAGUCUGCGUGGGAUUAGCUAGUUGGUGGGGUAAUGGCCUACCAAGGCUACGAUCUCUAACUGGUCUGAGAGGAUGACCAGUCUCACUGGAACUGACACACGGUCCAGACUCCUACGGGAGGCAGCAGUAGGGAAUAU
RNAcentral lists this ribosomal RNA (345 nucleotides) under uncultured bacterium. Its description in RNAcentral is "bacterial SSU rRNA". It matches the Rfam family "Bacterial small subunit ribosomal RNA", at positions 8 to 364 of the family's 1533-position model. The record is from RNAcentral.